GCGACGGGUGAGUACACGUGGGCAAUCUGCCCUGCACUCUGGGACAAGCCCUGGAAACGGGGUCUAAUACCGGAUACUGAUCCUCGCAGGCAUCUGCGAGGUUCGAAAGCUCCGGCGGUGCAGGAUGAGCCCGCGGCCUAUCAGCUAGUUGGUGAGGUAACGGCUCACCAAGGCGACGACGGGUAGCCGGCCUGAGAGGGCGACCGGCCACACUGGGACUGAGACACGGCCCAGACUCCUACGGGAGGCAGCAGUGGGGAAUAUUGCACAAUGGGCGAAAGCCUGAUGCAGCGACGCCGCGUGAGGGAUGACGGCCUUCGGGUUGUAAACCUCUUUCAGCAGGGAAGAAGCGAAAGUGACGGUACCUGCAGAAGAAGCGCCGGCUAACUACGUGCCAGCA
RNAcentral lists this ribosomal RNA (400 nucleotides) under Streptomyces sp. MBT15. RNAcentral describes it as "bacterial SSU rRNA". It matches the Rfam family "Bacterial small subunit ribosomal RNA", at positions 99 to 513 of the family's 1533-position model. The record is from RNAcentral. Lineage: Bacteria; Bacillati; Actinomycetota; Actinomycetes; Kitasatosporales; Streptomycetaceae.